GGAAGCAGCUCAGGGGUAGAGCGCAUGCUUAGCAUGCAUGAGGUUCUGGGUUCAAUCACCAGUACCUCCA
RNAcentral lists this transfer RNA (70 nucleotides) under Camelus dromedarius (Arabian camel). It matches the Rfam family "tRNA". From Rfam's summary of the family: Transfer RNA (tRNA) molecules are approximately 80 nucleotides in length. The record is from Rfam by way of RNAcentral. Lineage: Eukaryota; Metazoa; Chordata; Mammalia; Artiodactyla; Camelidae. RNAcentral also lists the same sequence under 1 other name.